AUGGGGACGGUCAGCGAGCUCUGCGCCUCCAGCUUCCAGGCCUUCCUGUGCCCCUCGGUGGCCACCAAGGCAGGUAGGUGCCCCGUGCCCUCCGCUUCCUGCAGCGUCCCCAUCCCCAUGGCGGACGUAGCACCCGUGUCUCUGGCUCCUGCUCCAUAUGGCUCAUGCCAUCGGCAGCACAGAGAGUCCCGGCCGUCUCGCCGCCCCCGUGCGCUGCCGGGCUCAGGCCCCCGCAAGCACGGAUCCGGCAGGACGGCUGGGUGCUGGGCGCUCCCCACGGUGCUGGUGCGGGCAGAGCCGGGGAGCCCAUGGCAGCAGCCAGUGGGUGCCUGCAGCACGGCGUGGCUGAGCCCCGUCCUGCCCCAGCCCCUUGCCCUCCUGCCUCCGGCCCUGCCGGGGGCGAUGCCCUUGCUGCAGCCCCGCUUCAGAGCAGGAGCGAGCGUGCGUGGCUGCCUUCUCCAAAGGAAACCUGCCCAGGGCAGCCCAGUGCCCGCUGCGUCGGGGCUGGCACCGCAGGCUGUCAGCGCCUGGGAGCUGCUGCUGCUGUCCCUGGGCUCCUGCUCGCAGGCUGGGACCUGGGGCGGGCUGAGAGCAGCUCCCGGCAGCGCUGCCUGGGCUGAGGCCGAGCACGGUGAGAGGUGCCGGCGUGGAGGGCGAGCGAGGUGCAUGGCAGGGGGUGCAGCACACGACGCAGGGCUGCAGCACGGCCCAGCCGUCAGUGGCUCGGUGAGAGUGGAUGUGGCCAAGCUGCUGCUGCUGCUCGCGGGCCACGUCGUGUGCCCUGGUGGUGCCCCAGCCUUGCGGCUGGGCCAGGGGCCCCCGAGCCUGGAACUGGCGGGGAGCGAGGCAGCGGCUGUGGGGUGCAGGGCCUGGGGGUGCAGGAGCCGGGUGACGGGGCAGGGCUGCUCCCGAGGGGCUGGAGGGCCCUGGCCAGCUCUCGGCGCUGGGCCUGGCUGCCUGGGAGGGUCUUCCCUGGAGCCGCCCGACCCCAGCCCUUCUCCUGACGCACCUCAGCUGUCUGUGGGGAAGGACGGGGCUGACGCAACCCAGGAUGUGCACAGAGCACGGUGA
Molecule: long non-coding RNA, 1071 nt
Filed under: Anser cygnoides (Swan goose)
Lineage: Eukaryota; Metazoa; Chordata; Aves; Anseriformes; Anatidae
Description: lncRNA (ENSACDG00005014606.1)
Source: RNAcentral